Molecule: ribosomal RNA, 200 nt
Filed under: uncultured bacterium
Lineage: Bacteria
Description: partial 16S ribosomal RNA
Rfam family: Bacterial small subunit ribosomal RNA
Source: RNAcentral
AUAUUGCGUGAGUKAAGAAGGCCUUCGGGUUGUAAAGCUCUUUUGUUGGGAAAGAAAUCCUGCCGGUUAAUACCCGGUAGGGAUGACGGUACCCAAAGAAUAAGCWCCGGCUAACUUCGUGCCAGCUGCCGCGGUAAUACGAAGGGUGCAAGCKUUACUCGGAAUUACUGGGCGUAAAGCGUGCGUAGGUGGUUUGUUAA